GAUGAACGCUAGCUACAGGCCUAACACAUGCAAGUCGAGGGACCGGCGCACGGGUGAGUAACGCGUAUCCAACCUGCCCCACGGUGAGGGAUAACCCGCGGAAACGCGGCCUAAUACCUCGUGCCGUGGGAUGGGGAUGCGUCUGAUUAGCUUGUUGGCGGGGCAACGGCCCACCAAGGCAACGAUCAGUAGGGGUUCUGAGAGGAAAGCCCCCCACAUUGGAACUGAGACACGGUCCAAACUCCUACGGGAGGCAGCAGUGAGGAAUAUUGGUCAAUGGGCGAGAGCCUGAACCAGCCAAGUAGCGUGCAGGAAGACGGCCUAUGGGUUGUAAACUGCUUUUAUGCGGGGAUAGGUACCGCAUGAAUAAGGACCGGCUAAUUCCGUGCCAGCAGCCGCGGUAAUACGGAAGGUCCGGGCGUUAUCCGGAUUUAUUGGGUUUAAAGGGAGCGCAGGCCGGGUAUUAAGCGUGUUGUGAAAUGUAGGCGCCCAACGUCUGCACCGCAGCGCGAACUGGUGCCCUUGAGUACGCACGACGUUGGCGGAAUUCGCCGUGUAGCGGUGAAAUGCUUAGAUAUGGCGAAGAACUCCGAUUGCGAAGGCAGCUGACGGGAGCGCUGCUGACGCUCAUGCUCGAAAGCGCGGGUAUCGAACAGGAUUAGAUACCCUGGUAGUCCGCGCGGUAAACGAUGGAUGCCCGCUAUUUGCAAGUGGCCAAGUGAAAACGUUAAGCAUCCCACCUGGGGAGUACGCCGGCAACGGUGCAACUCAAAUGAAUUGACGGA
Molecule: ribosomal RNA, 785 nt
Filed under: uncultured bacterium
Lineage: Bacteria
Description: bacterial SSU rRNA
Rfam family: Bacterial small subunit ribosomal RNA
Source: RNAcentral